AAACAACAGCAUUUAAAUGCGUACCGGUUUCGGCCCGGUAAGAGCGAUCCCACGCAUUGUUUU
This 63-nucleotide transfer RNA is filed under the name Amynthas robustus. RNAcentral describes it as "tRNA-Arg". Lineage: Eukaryota; Metazoa; Annelida; Clitellata; Crassiclitellata; Megascolecidae. The record is from RNAcentral.